CGAACGCUGGCGGCGUGCUUAACACAUGCAAGUCGAACGGAAAGGCCCUGCUUUUGUGGGGUGCUCGAGUGGCGAACGGGUGAGUAACACGUGAGUAACCUGCCCUUGACUUUGGGAUAACUUCAGGAAACUGGGGCUAAUACCGGAUAGGAGCUCCUGCUGCAUGGUGGGGGUUGGAAAGUUUCGGCGGUUGGGGAUGGACUCGCGGCUUAUCAGCUUGUUGGUGGGGUAGUGGCUUACCAAGGCUUUGACGGGUAGCCGGCCUGAGGGUGACCGGCCACAUUGGGACUGAGAUACGGCCCAGACUCCUACGGGAGGCAGCAGUGGGGAAUAUUGCACAAUGGGCGGAAGCCUGAUGCAGCAACGCCGCGUGCGGGAUGACGGCCUUCGGGUUGUAAACCGCUUUCGCCUGUGACGAAGCGUGAGUGACGGUAAUGGGUAAAGAAGCACCGGCUAACUACGUG
Molecule: ribosomal RNA, 464 nt
Filed under: uncultured bacterium
Lineage: Bacteria
Description: partial 16S ribosomal RNA
Rfam family: Bacterial small subunit ribosomal RNA
Source: RNAcentral